UUUAUGGAGAGUUUGAUCCUGGCUCAGGAUGAACGCUGGCGGCGUGCCUAAUACAUGCAAGUCGAGCGAACGGACGAGAAGCUUGCUUCUCUGAUGUUAGCGGCGGACGGGUGAGUAACACGUGGAUAACCUACCUAUAAGACUGGGAUAACUUGGGGAAACCGGAGCUAAUACCGGAUAAUAUUUUGAACCGCAUGGUUCAAAAGUGAAAGACGGUCUUGCUGUCACUUAUAGAUGGAUCCGCGCUGCAUUAGCUAGUUGGUAAGGUAAC
Molecule: ribosomal RNA, 271 nt
Filed under: Staphylococcus aureus
Lineage: Bacteria; Bacillati; Bacillota; Bacilli; Caryophanales; Staphylococcaceae
Description: partial 16S ribosomal RNA
Rfam family: Bacterial small subunit ribosomal RNA
Source: RNAcentral